This is a long non-coding RNA of Rosa rugosa (rugosa rose), 513 nucleotides long. RefSeq lists it as uncharacterized. The record is from RefSeq and is a predicted model, not a curated record. Lineage: Eukaryota; Viridiplantae; Streptophyta; Magnoliopsida; Rosales; Rosaceae. The transcript is spliced from 4 exons.
UGGAAGACAAAACUCUCACCCAUCAAAGGUACUGAAAGCCGAGAUCACUUCAAUCCGAAGAGUUUGCCAAUCCUUUGAUCCUUAUAAAGUACUUCACUACUACAAUUUGUUGAUCACCAAAGGAGAUGUUUCUAUAUAGCCAAGGAGAAAGAUGAAUGGUUCCGUUCUUGAUUGGUUGAUUGGAAGUACAAAUUUGAGUGAAGAGAGCUGGGAUGACUCGCUAGGUAUGGCAGUUCACUUGUUUCUAAGAGGAAAAGUUAAGAGAUGGAGCUUACAUGAAGAAGACUGGUGUGCAGAAGUAUGGCAAAGGCAAUUGGAAGUUUAUCUUAAAUACAUACAGAGAGUCAGAGAUGUGAGAUGUAUUUGAAGAAAGAAAUGAGGUUGAUCCAAAGGACAAGUGGAGAAAUAUGUGGAAGUAGAGGCACCUGUGAAUAGUCUGCUACUCGGUUGAUUUUUUGUAUAUAUUGAUGCCUUGUGCCUAUGAAUUGUAAUAAAGCCAACCAUUGUGGUUAA